UUAAAUUGAAGAGUUUGAUCAUGGCUCAGAUUGAACGCUGGCGGCAGGCCUAACACAUGCAAGUCGAACGGUAGCACGGAGCAGCUUGCUGCUUGGCUGACGAGUGGCGGACGGGUGAGUAAUGUCUGGGAAACUGCCUGAUGGAGGGGGAUAACUACUGGAAACGGUGGCUAAUACCGCAUAACGUCGCAAGACCAAAGAGGGGGACCUUCGGGCCUCUUGCCAUCAGAUGUGCCCAGAUGGGAUUAGCU
This 251-nucleotide ribosomal RNA is filed under the name Salmonella enterica subsp. enterica serovar Berta. RNAcentral describes it as "partial 16S ribosomal RNA". It matches the Rfam family "Bacterial small subunit ribosomal RNA", at positions 1 to 246 of the family's 1533-position model. The record is from RNAcentral. Lineage: Bacteria; Pseudomonadati; Pseudomonadota; Gammaproteobacteria; Enterobacterales; Enterobacteriaceae.